Molecule: ribosomal RNA, 113 nt
Filed under: Acanthosepion pharaonis
Lineage: Eukaryota; Metazoa; Mollusca; Cephalopoda; Sepiida; Sepiidae
Source: RNAcentral
UUACGGCCAGAUCACGUUGAAACAACAGCUCCCGUACGAUUACCGAAAUUAAUCACUAUUAAGCCUGGUUAGUACUUAAAUGGGUAACCGCUUCGGAAUAUCACGUGCAGUAA